AGGCUGAAAACCAACAAAACCACAGAACUCUAGUCAGACCAUUCUAGAAAGUAGUAGCACUACGUGAGGACGAGGAAAGAGAAAAGAAUACAACGUCCACCGGGGUGGUGACUGGACUCCAUUACGGACAAAACUAUUAAAACGCGGUGAUGCUACUCUUCAAAAAGAGAACGCCGUAAUAAACCUUCCGGUCAGAUGCCAUU
This 203-nucleotide long non-coding RNA is filed under the name Elaeis guineensis (African oil palm). RNAcentral's name for it is "long non-coding RNA (EGUI_LNC026994)". The record is from RNAcentral. Lineage: Eukaryota; Viridiplantae; Streptophyta; Magnoliopsida; Arecales; Arecaceae.